Molecule: non-coding RNA, 30 nt
Filed under: Xenopus tropicalis (tropical clawed frog)
Lineage: Eukaryota; Metazoa; Chordata; Amphibia; Anura; Pipidae
Also listed under: 2 other names
Source: RNAcentral
ACUCUCGGCAACGGAUAUCUCGGCUCUCGC